AUGAACAAGUACGUGCGGGGGAGGGUUGUGCUGGCGCGUCCGCGCGCAUGUGCACGCCCGCCCUCGUCGUCCGUCCACUCACACCUGUGCACCUUGCUCGUCAGGUCGAGGGGUUCCCCCCCUUGGCCCGGCGCACUUUUCACACCACCUGUCUUAACCGGAUGUCAAUUGCGUAAACGCAACCGAAAAA
This 190-nucleotide unclassified non-coding RNA is filed under the name uncultured fungus. RNAcentral's name for it is "sequence contains ITS1, 5.8S rRNA gene". The record is from RNAcentral. Lineage: Eukaryota; Fungi.